UUUCUAGAAACCAAAGAUGCUAUUCAAACCUCUGUAUUAUCCCGUCGGUGGAGAUCUGCAUGGAAGCAUGUUCCCACUCUCAAUAUUCGUAGCAAAUCCUUCAGAGAGUAUGCAAGUUUCAAAAUAUGCUUAGACAAGAUUUUGUCCCUACGCUAUCCACUUAGUCUCCGAAAGGUCAUAUUGUUUGACCGCGGAAUUGCUGAGGAUCGUGACGGUUGCCUAUUCGCAAGGCUCAUCAAAUAUGCCUUCUCCCAUGAUGCUAAACAUUUGUUCAUUGACAUGACCAAUAAUGUCUUAUGGGAAGACGACACAGAGUACUAUUUCUCUGGAUUGUUUGACACUGUCUCCGAUUGCAGUCUUGAAACCUUGACAUUAGUCACUGUCUUCAUCGAUUUCGAAAUUCAAUCUUCUGGUUUCCGGAUGCUCACAAAAUUAGAGCUGCUCCGAUGCAUGUUCCUCUCUGAUGGUGAAGGUCUUGUGGAUCCAUUCUCUAAAUUUCCAUGUCUGGAGCAUUUGGUCUUGCUUACUACGUUACCUGAGAACCUUCAAGGUGAUGGUAAGAGAUUGAGGAUUUCCGGACACAGAUUACUUAGUCUGAGCAUAACGGAAAGUUAUUUCAGGAAACUCGAAAUACAUGCACCGAAACUUGAAUAUUUCUAUUAUCAAAGUUUUGAGGAGCAUGUGGAAUUCAAAGAGCUAAACCUUCCCUCCCUCGAUCAUGCUGUGAUUUGGAUCUACAAUGAGUGCUGUUGUGAUGGGAACCCUGAGCAUGGAAUACAUUGUUGGAUGUCCUUGUUGCAUGGGCUGAGUAAUGCGAGGACUCUCAAGUUGUGUCACUCUACGAUUGAGGUACUCCUUGGAUUCAUAUCCUUGUAAUCGAAAUGCUCUUUCUACUUCUAGGUAAGUGUUUGCCUUAUGUUUUGAUGAACUUUGAAUUUUGUUUUGUUUGCAGCUAUUGAGUGGUAUAUCCGAGUUUCUAGAAAAACAGCAGUCUCCUUUCACAAGACUAGAGACUUUGAGUUUGGAGGAGCUAGAAGUACAUGAGGCACCCGCAGUGAUCGACUACUUUGUUAAAGGUGCUUCUUCAGGUACAAAACCGGUUGUUAAGUUUGAAUGACAGUUCGCUUAUCUCGACUGUGGAGUCACAACUAGUUCCUUCAGAAGAACAGUAGGUUUCUCUAGUGUUGCUGCUUUGCAAGUAGGCAUAUUACAGGGUUUUGCAAAUCACACUGUAUGUCGUUGUUAUGUAGUGAACAGAAGCUGCUCCCUUAAUUUGACUGCAAAUGUUUGUCGGACUCGCUCUAUUUGGUUUCCUAACUACAACCAUUCUCUUCUAUCCAUACAUUAUGUAUUUACAUUUGUAUGCUCUGUUCGUAUAACAUCAUAAAAGAGCUCGAGCACGUUUGUAACCUUAAACGAGCUCAAGCUCAGCCCGUUUACAACCUUACCGAGUUCAACCUUACAUUGCGACAAGAAAGUGCACUUUAAGGAGCAUUUAGUUCAAUUUCAAUUGAGGACUGUAAGAGUGAUAACGCAUAUCAUCAAAAUAAUAAAAGCUAAAAUUAGAGUUGGUUUACCUGGCUCACCGAGCUCCUAAACAAUCCGGCUCGUGAAUUAAGUUUGAUGAGCCAGCUUGAAAACACUACACGAAUCUGUUUGUGGCUCGGGUUGGAUUGGUUUACCUUUCUAGACGUUUUGCGAAUGGGUUCGCUUUGAGCCAAAUCUAGAGAGGAACGCAUAUUUCCCGAACCAAACUUCAAGCGAAUGACGACCAAUUUGGCUCCCUUGCAUGAUCAUAUAUUCAUACUGGGAACUGGGAAGCUACUGCCAACAGUCAUGCCACAAUUUAUCGGCGUUGUUGCAUACAGUUCGAUGAAGCAGUAGAUGGUAGCAAACUUUUUUUACAUGAGCAUGCCAUUAACAGCACCAAGGAACAGCAAGAUGACAUGCAUUUCCAAAAAAAUGGAGAUAUUCAUCAAAACUGAUUGAUGCGUCUGCCGGGAGUCGAACCCGGGUCUAUUGCUUGGAAGGAAAUUAUCCUAACCGUUGGACUACAAACGCUUAAUGUUUGUUGUGACAAAUGAUGAAAUAAUCAAAAUGCAUAUGAAAACACCGAUGCAGAAUCUAAAAUAUAAUAAUAUACAAUGCAUUCAACCUUAGCCAUAAUAACAUGAGCUGCAUUUUACUCUAAAUGAUACAUCUAAAUUAAUUCAAUGGAUAGGGAGCCAUUUGAUGGGUGCCCGCACCAACUUGAAUAUUCAUCUGUCCUAGGUUUCAAACUUAAAUUGCCCUAACAAUUUAUAAUGGCUUAGUUGCCUGCCACUCUACACUCAUUUACUCUCUCAAUUCUCUACUUUUUUCAUGACAAAUCACCUGUAAGCUUCCGAGAAUCAUCCGCCGAUCGCAACAUUUAUUGACGAUCAUAUUCAGGUAAGAAACAACAAAAAGUGACAAUCCGUUGUCGGCCCAUGUGGACUCAUCAGAGACGGCGUUGGAGCCCGUCACUCUGGCAACAAACAGACGACAAUACCAUCGCUGGUGGGAUUCAAACGGACCGAUCAAUGGCGAAGCUAGGAUUUUACUUUGAUUAGCACCUCUUCCUGUAUUAAGUUCAUCUAAUGCUAGCUUUCUUGUCAACUCAUCUGCUUGAGCAGCUUGAAGCUCAUCAUGUCUCUCACAAGAAGCGAUACAAACAUCGACCACAAAUGACAAGUUUGAAAAAAGCUCUUACACGCAAUGUACCUCUUUAGCAGCUGCUAUCAAUGCUAAUUGAAGACGAUGAGCCAAAUAAUACACAUAGUAUGCUUGAGGGCAAUUUUUUUUAUAAACAAUGUUUGUAAUCCUUUCCAUUCACCACACAUGUUACUUGCCCUAUCAUGUCCACGUCCUUGUCCUUGAAGAUUUUGAAUUGUGAACUUGUGUCUGGAAAGAGUUGCAAUAGUUUUGAAUUAUGAACAAUAGUUUUCAUAUUUAUAUUUGGAAUAUUUAUUUAUAAUAACGAACUGCACGAAGUAAAAACGGACUGUAUUAGAAAAAAACGGAUUUCACAAAAUAAAUACGAAUUGCGUUAGUAAUUUUUUUAAUUAAGAAUAUUUUAAUCUAUUCAUGGACUGCGCGAACCAAAAGACCGGCUGUAUAUAAAACAUUGAUUAAUAAUCAUUGAAAGCAACGUUAGUUAGCGUUUCAUUAGUAAUGUAUGUAUGUUGACCAAACAUGGAAAAAAAUCUUAGGCUUUAGGCCCAUAAUAAGCUAUGCUACUUUAAAUCCAGGUUCAGUCGGUGCAACAGUAAGAGGCCCACUGGCCCAUUUUCUUAAAUCCCAAAUUUCUAGCAGUUAAUGCCUUCAAAUUCAAAAGUUCGUCCAUUUCCUUCGACUCUCCAAGUCUCUAUCAAAAAAUAAAAACCGUCCAUUUAUUCAAGAACCCUAAAUUGUUCUCCGAUCGGCAAUAUCGAGUUCAGCGGUGACUCUGGUGAUUCAUCGAUGGCAGUAAGUAUCUUUUUGCUCGCUUGUUCUUAGUUCUUCAUUGAUACAGUGUCUCAUUUCUGAUCCUUUUGUUUCUCUCGAACCAGUGGUCAACGAGCUGAGAUUGUGCUACCAUGGAGAACACCUGCGGUGACUGCCGGUUACGGAAAACUGACAGGUUAAGCUAUCUUCCAGACUCAGUUCUUUAUCACAUCCUUUCAUAUCUAGAUACCAAAUCAGUUGUUCAAACCUCUGUAUUAUCCCGUCGGUGGAGAUCUACAUGGAAGCAUGUUCCUGCUCUCAACUUUCGUAGCCAGUCCUUCAGAGAGUAUAUACGCUUCAAGAUAUAUGUGUACAAGGUUCUGUCUCUUCGGUACCCGGUUGGUCUCCAAAAGAUCACCUACACCGACGAAGGUAAUUCGCGCGAACGUGAAGGUAGCCUGUUCGCUAGGCUCAUCGAAUAUGGCUUCACCCAUGGAGCUAAACAUUUAGUCAUUGAUCUUCACACUUACGAAUCCCGGGAUGACCUUCCGGAAUACUUCUUGUCUGAUUUGUUUGACACCACCACUGCUUCCAACUUUGAAACCCUGAAACUAAACCAUUUCAUGGUUGAUCCCGAAUUUCAAUCUCUUGGUUUCCGGAUGCUGACAAAGUUAGAGUUGUUCGAAUGCACGUUUGUGUCUGAUCACGAAGAGUUUGUCGAUACUUUCUCUGAAUUUCCAUGUCUGGAGCAUUUGGUAUUGGAUCGUCCGUCUCCUGAGGACCGUGAUGUUGAUGAUAAGAUAUUCAGGAUUUCCGGACCUAGAUUACUCAGUUUGAGCGUAACGGGUACUUGUUUCAGGAAACUCGAAAUACAUGCACUGAAACUUGAAUAUUUCCAUUUCCAUCUCUUUUGGGACCUUGUGGAGUUCACAGAGAUAAACCUUCCCUCCCUGGAUCAUGCUGUCAUUAGUAUCUUUGAUGAGUUCGAUUCUUACGAGGAGAAAACUGAUCGUGCAAAAUAUUGUUCGAUGUCCUUGCUCCGUGGGCUGGGUAAUGUGAAGACACUUAAGUUGUGUAACUCCACAAUCGAGGUAUUCCUUCUUGGAUUCGUAUUCUUGAAAUUGAAAUUUUACAUUAUGUUUUGGAAGAACUUCAGCUGUGCUUUGUUUGCAGCUAUUGUGCUGUAUUUCCGAGUAUCUAGCAGAACAACACUCUCCGUUUACAAGACUAGAGAGUUUGAGCUGUGGGCUUACAAAUCGACGUAAUGAAGCACUGAUCGAUUUCUUUGUUAAAGGCUCUUAUGGUACUGAACGGCAAGUUAAGAUUGAAUGGCCAGUAAUUACAGACUAAACUCGACUUAAAAUAUGCAUCGUUCGUUGCAAGUAGUUCCUUAAGAAGAACAUUAUCUAUGUAAAGAUGAGUAGCUUUGUUGCUGUUUUCUAACUAGACGUAAUAGUGGCUUUUGCAACUCGUAGUAUAUGUCGUUAUGUAGUUAACAAAAGCUGGCUUAAGAACAACCGUUAUGUGCUAUAUAGUUCAUGCUUUUUGACUGGUGAUCUA
Molecule: long non-coding RNA, 5004 nt
Filed under: Linum usitatissimum (flax)
Lineage: Eukaryota; Viridiplantae; Streptophyta; Magnoliopsida; Malpighiales; Linaceae
Description: long non-coding RNA (LUSI_LNC005519)
Source: RNAcentral